ACUAAAUAGUGCAUUGAGCCGCGUUCCUGAAAAGCAAGCGGGACCUAACAGCUCUCACACAAGCAGUCCUCAGGACUUGUAGGAUGGUUUAUCAACAUCUGAUCUAAGGGAUGAUCUUCAGCUGGAGCAAGUCACUGUAGCUCAGUUAACAUCAAUGAACUGCACUGGUUUUACAUAUCCAAAAGUCAGGCCUCUGCAACACCUAAUAUCACAAAGGAAACUCUUAAAAACAAGGCACAGAGCUGUUGGUCGCUGAUGUCUUCCUGGGGACAGUCUCUGUGACAGCCAAGGAACUAGGAAUCUCCCGAUGCCGUUAUAACUUCUU
Long non-coding RNA from Nothoprocta perdicaria, 325 nucleotides. RefSeq lists it as uncharacterized. The record is from RefSeq and is a predicted model, not a curated record. NCBI's taxonomy places the organism in Eukaryota, Metazoa, Chordata, Aves, Tinamiformes, Tinamidae. The transcript has 3 exons.